RNAcentral lists this ribosomal RNA (492 nucleotides) under uncultured bacterium. RNAcentral describes it as "partial 16S ribosomal RNA". It matches the Rfam family "Bacterial small subunit ribosomal RNA", at positions 29 to 507 of the family's 1533-position model. The record is from RNAcentral.
AGCGAACGCUGGCGGUAGGCCUAACACAUGCAAGUCGAACGGCAGCACAGUAAGAGCUUGCUCUUACGGGUGGCGAGUGGCGGACGGGUGAGGAAUACAUCGGACUCUACUUUUUCGUGGGGGUUCACGUAGGGAAACUUACUCUAAUACCGCAUACGCCCUACGGGUGAAAGCAGGGGAUCUUCGGACCUUGCGCGAUUGAACGCGCGGCUGUCGGAUUAGCUGGUUGGCGGGGUAAAGGCCCACCAAGGCGCCGAUCCGUAGCUGGUCUGAGAGGAUGGUCAGCCACACUGGAACUGAGACACGGUCCAGACUCCUACGGGAGGCAGCAGUGGGGAAUAUUGGACAAUGGUCGCAAGCCUGAUCCAGCCAGACCGCGUGGGUGAAGAAGGCCUUCGGGUUGGAAAGCCCGUUUGUUGGGAAAGAAAAGCAGCAGGUUAAGACCCCGCUGUUCUGACGGUACCCAAAGAAGAAGCACCGGCUAACUUCGUG